RNAcentral lists this ribosomal RNA (259 nucleotides) under uncultured bacterium. RNAcentral's name for it is "partial small subunit ribosomal RNA". It matches the Rfam family "Bacterial small subunit ribosomal RNA", at positions 32 to 285 of the family's 1533-position model. The record is from RNAcentral.
AGGACGAAACGCUGGCGGCGUGCUUAACACAUGCAAGUCGAGCGGAAAGGCCCUUCGGGGUACUCGAGCGGCGAACGGGUGAGUAACACGUGAGUAAUCCGCCCUUAGCUCUGGGAUAGCUCCGGGAAACCGGGAUUAAAUACCAGAUAUGACCACUUUAGACAUCUUUUGUGGUGGAAAGAAUUUCGGCGUGGGGAUGAACUCGCGGCCUAUCAGUCUUGGUUGGUGAGGUAAUGGCUCACCAAGGCGACGACGGGUA